Molecule: ribosomal RNA, 548 nt
Filed under: uncultured rumen protozoa
Lineage: Eukaryota
Description: SSU rRNA
Rfam family: Eukaryotic small subunit ribosomal RNA
Source: RNAcentral
UCUGGUUGAUCCUGCCAGUAGUCAUAUGCUUGUCUCAAAGACUAAGCCAUGCAUGUCUAAGUAUAAAUAACUACACAGUAAAACUGCGAAUGGCUCAUUAAAACAGUUAUAGUUUAUUUGAUACAUUAAAUGGAUAACUGUAGAAAAACUAGAGCUAAUACAUGCCAAGGCCGCAAGGUCGUAUUUAUUAGAUAACUUAAAUAUGAAUCAUAGUAACUUAGCAAAUCUCAAUUUCAUUGAGAUAUAUCAUCCAAGUUUCUGCCCUAUCAGCUUUCGAUGGUAGUGUAUUUGACUACCAUGGCUCUCACGGGUAACAGGGAAUUAGGGUUCGAUUCUGGAGAAGGAGCCUGAGAAACGGCUACUACAUCUACGGAAGGCAGCAGGCGCGUAAAUUACCCAAUCCUGACUCAGGGAGGUGGUGACAAGAUAUAAUGACGCUAUGAAAAAUAGUGAUUAUAGUAAGGGUAUUCCAAACCGAACCACAAGUACGAUUAGAGGGCAAGUCUGGUGCCAGCAGCCGCGGUAAUUCCAGCUCUAAUAGCGUAUAU